Molecule: ribosomal RNA, 497 nt
Filed under: uncultured bacterium
Lineage: Bacteria
Description: partial 16S ribosomal RNA
Rfam family: Bacterial small subunit ribosomal RNA
Source: RNAcentral
GACGAACGCUGGCGGCGUGCCUAAUACAUGCAAGUAGAACGCUGAAGCGAGGAGCUUGCUCUUCUUGGAUGAGUUGCGAACGGGUGAGUAACGCGUAGGUAACCUGCCUUGUAGCGGGGGAUAACUAUUGGAAACGAUAGCUAAUACCGCAUAACAAUGGAUGACACAUGUCAUUUAUUUGAAAGGGGCAAUUGCUCCACUAAAAGAUGGACCUGCGUUGUAUUAGCUAGUAGGUGAGGUAAUGGCUCACCUAGGCGACGAUACAUAGCCGACCUGAGAGGGUGAGCGGCCACACUGGGACGGAGACACGGCCCAGACGCCUACGGGAGGCAGCAGUAGGGAAUCUUCGGCAAUGGGGGCAACCCUGACCGAGCAACGCCGCGUGAGUGAAGAAGGUUUUCGGAUCGUAAAGCUCUGUUGUAAGUCAAGAACGGGUGUGAGAGUGGAAAGUUCACACUGUGACUGUAGCUUACCAGAAAGGGACGGCUAACUACGUG